GCCCAAAGGUGAAUUUCUUGGG
This 22-nucleotide microRNA is filed under the name Macaca mulatta (Rhesus monkey). RNAcentral describes it as "Mml-Mir-186_3p* (star (passenger))". Lineage: Eukaryota; Metazoa; Chordata; Mammalia; Primates; Cercopithecidae. The record is from RNAcentral.